UACGUAGGGUGCAAGCGUUGUCCGGAAUUAUUGGGCGUAAAGAGCUCGUAGGCGGUCUGUUGCGUCGGCUGUGAAAACCCGGGGCUCAACUCCGGGCCUGCAGCCGAUACGGGCAGACUAGAGUGCUGUAGGGGAGACUGGAAUUCCUGGUGUAGCGGUGGAAUGCGCAGAUAUCAGGAGGAACACCGAUGGCGAAGGCAGAUCUCUGGGCCGUAACUGACGCUGAGGAGCGAAAGCAUGGGGAGCGAACAGG
This 253-nucleotide ribosomal RNA is filed under the name uncultured bacterium. RNAcentral's name for it is "partial 16S ribosomal RNA". It matches the Rfam family "Bacterial small subunit ribosomal RNA", at positions 524 to 776 of the family's 1533-position model. The record is from RNAcentral.